GUGCCAGCCGCCGCGGUAAUACCCGCAGCUCAAGUGGUGGUCAUUAUUAUUGGGCCUAAAGCGUCCGUAGCAGGCUUGUUAGAUGCCUGGGUAAAUCGAUGCGCUUAACGCAUCGAAUUCCGGGUAGACCGGCAAGCUCGAGACCGGGAGAGGCGUGAGCUACUCAAGGGGUAGGGGUAAAAUCCUGUAAUCCUUUGGGGAGGACCAGUGGCGAAGGCGUCACGCUAGAACGGCUCUGACUGUGAGGGACGAAGCCCUGGGGCGCAAACCGGAUUAGAUACCCCUGUAGUCC
This 292-nucleotide ribosomal RNA is filed under the name uncultured bacterium. Its description in RNAcentral is "partial 16S ribosomal RNA". It matches the Rfam family "Archaeal small subunit ribosomal RNA", at positions 455 to 747 of the family's 1478-position model. The record is from RNAcentral.